AAUAGAUACGUUCUUAAAAACUAUUCGCAAAAACGUUUUUGGGUGGCCAGCAAGGCUUGCGGGAUUUGUUUGAUUACCGAAAUCUGGGAAGUGCGGAAGAGAGUAGAGUUUCGAGUUGUGUGUUAUGCUCGAUUGGAUGGCUUUCAUGUGAUGAAAAAUUAAUUCGAAAGUUUCGAAAUUGUUUCGAGUUGAUACAUUUAU
Non-coding RNA from Caenorhabditis elegans, 201 nucleotides. The record is from Ensembl. NCBI's taxonomy places the organism in Eukaryota, Metazoa, Nematoda, Chromadorea, Rhabditida, Rhabditidae.